RNAcentral lists this microRNA precursor (74 nucleotides) under Saimiri boliviensis boliviensis (Bolivian squirrel monkey). Its description in RNAcentral is "miRNA (ENSSBOG00000001013.1)". Lineage: Eukaryota; Metazoa; Chordata; Mammalia; Primates; Cebidae. The record is from RNAcentral.
AGGUUGGUGCAAAAGUAAUUGCGGAUUUUUGCUAUUUUAAUGGCAAAAACCACAAUUAUUUUUGCACCAAUCUA